AGGCCAUUUUCAAUCCAGAGGAAGACCUUCUAAAAGAGGUGAUGGAUGGGAGAGUGCUGACAUACUAUGUGAAGCUACUAUUUGGAGUUGGACACGAGUGCAUGUGACCUUGUGCCACAGCGGGAAUCUUGACUACCACACAAAUGAAUCCAUUCAAAUGUUGGCAAGUGGAGCAGAGUCCCAGGACAGGUGCUGCAGCAGCCCGGCUGGAAGCGAUGCAGCAUCCAGGACGACGGAGGAAGGGGCAGAGAGGGACCUCUGCUUUCCAGGCUGCCUUUUAUACUGCCUCUGGUCACCUGACGUGGAACGUACCCUAACCUAAUCAGUUACAUGAGGCGCUUGGAAACCACCGUCAAUUGGACCGCACUGGGAAACACAGAUGAACAAAGUCAACACCGCUUUGUCCUGCAGUGCCUGGCUCCUUUUUCAGCUCGUCUUGCGACUCCAGGUAUUGGAGUCCAGGGAGGGGUACGUCGCCUUUACCCUGUGCUUGCCACGAUCUUGUCUCCUUAAUCCUCACUGCAGUUCUCUGCCAUAGAGUCUUAUACUGCUUUACAUGUGGGAAACUGAGGCUCAGAGAGUUUCACAGCAGGGCAGGGAGCCCAGAUGUGAAUCUGUAGAUACCAAACUUUCUAAUUUUUCAGUAGUUUCCAAGCAUCUUUUAUUUUUCUUGUUUCUUCGUUGGUGUCUUUUUUUUUUUUUUUUUUUUUUUGAGACAAAAUCUCUGUGCCCAGGCUGAGGUGCAGUGGUGUGAUCUCAGCUCACUGCAACCUCGACGUCUCACAUUCAACAAUUCUCAUGCCUCAACCUCCCGAGUGGCUGGGACUACAGGUGCCCACCACACCCAACUUAUUUUUGUAUUUUUAGUAGAAACACGGUUUUGCCAUGUUGGCCAGGCUGGUCUUGAACUCCUGACCUCAGGUGAUCCACCCGCCUUGGCCUCCCAAUAUGCUGGAAUUAUUGAUAUGAGCCAUUGGGCCCGGUCAUGUCAUUGGUGCCUUAACCAAGCCUCUUUUAAUUUUUCAAACGGAAGAGCCCCUGUCCCUCAGUUACGGCUGCUGAGCCCUUUCAAGGUGAGUCAGUGAGGAGGGAGAAAAGCGGAAGUGGUGUGGGAAGAGGCGGGGUCUGGGCCAGCUGCUGGUCCUGCUCUCCUCCCUCCUUUGGCCUCUAGGCUCCCAGGAGUGGUUUCGAACCUGCGCCAUGUGCUCUGGAGGCUGUGGCAAGGCAGGCGCGGCUUGGAACCCGCACCAUGUGCUCUGGGGGCUGUGGCAAGGCAGGGGCAGCUUGGAACCUGCGCCAUGUGCUCUGGGGGCUGUGCCAGGGCAGGGGGAGUCCUCGUGUCCCCUGCGCACAACACAGACAGAAGGCUGGGUCCACCCAGUGGGCGGUCGGGUGCCAGGCCAGUGCUUACCCCGCCAUGUUUGCAGCCCGAGGCCAGCUGGCUGCAGGUGCAGGACUAGGCGUCAGGGGUCAGGGUGCACACAUCCCUGCAGGUCUCGGGGCUCCUGGGUUGCUUCUGGAAGGGCACAGAUGGGACCUGACUGGAGCUGCAGAGGGGUGGAGCUUCUGGGGAAAGGAUCCCUCCUAGGGGGAGUGUCUUGGGCCUGGGGCCACGUGGCAGGGACAGAGACGGGUCCAUGGCAGUGUCUGCUCUUCUCUGUGAAGGCAAAAAGCCUCUGAGGGAGUAUUACAGCCGCCUCAUCCACCAGAAGCAUUUCCAGCAGAUCCAGGUCUGCACCCCCUGACUGCAGGGCCAAGGACUACCCCCGCUUCUAGGUGAGAGGCCAGCAGGAGGCUCAGGGAGGAGGCGGGGCCUUAAGCAGGGGGAGCAGGGGUGGGCAUGAUGUACUUUUUCUGAAAAGGUGGCUCUGGAGGCCACUUGGGGACAGGACCUGGGCUCUGGCUGAACUCCCGGGAGGAGGCUACUUCCUGGUGUGCCAGCCCCUCCCUGCCAGGUCGCCCCAGAGGCCCUUUACCAAGGGGUUUGAGGAGGCCACGUCCUUUCAGUCUGCCACGCCCUCCAUUGCAUCCUCUUCCUUCCUCCAGGAGGGCUGGGCCUGGGUUUGGGGCCACUGUUGCCCAGGUGGGGGAGGGCAGUGGCUUUGGGAGGAACAGGGACGAUGUGUCAAACAGCAUCGCCUCUCCCAGUGAGAUGGUUCUCCUUUGCCUCCGUCUCUUUCCCCAUUGAUUUCUCCAAGUGGGGAGUCAUGGCUUGGUCCUGAUACGUCUCUAGAGCUGCAUCUUCCAGCUUCGAGUGAGCAGAGCAGUUGGAGUCUGAGGGCCUUUUCCUGGCAGGAUUCUCCAGCUAGUCUUUGUUUUAGACAGUCUUGCUCCGUUGCCCAGGCUGGAGUGCACGAUCUCAGUUCAUGCAACCUCCGCCUCCUGGGUUCAAGCGAUUCACCCACCUCAGCCUCCCAAGUAGAUUACAGGAUUACAGGAGUCCACCACAACAGCUGGCUUAUUUUUGUAUUUUUAGUAGAGACAGGGUUUCACCAUGUUGUCCAGGCUGGUCUUGAACUCCUGACCUCAAGUGAUCCUCUCGCCUUGGCCUCCCUAAGUGCUGGGAUUCCAGGCGUGACCCAUCAUGCCUGGCCCCAGGUAGUCUUUAGAAAUGUUAAGCUAUUUGGCUUUAUUUUCACACUGACAGCUGGUUUGUGGUGGGUGUGUUAUGGUUUAUUAUUAUUAUUAUUAUUAUCAUUAUUAUUAUUUUGAGACGGAGUUUCGCUCUUGUAGACCAGGCUGGAGUGCAAUGGCGCGAUCUUCGCUCACCGCAACCUCUGCCUUCCCAGGUUCAAGCGAUUCUCCUGCCUCAGCCGCCUGAGUAGCUGGGAUUACAGGCACAUGCCACGGAUUAGCAUCGCUAAUUUUGUAUUUAUUUUUAGUAGAGAUGGGGAUUCACCAUGUUGGCCAGGCUGGUCUUGAACUCCUGACCUCAGGUGAUCCACCCGCCUUGGCCUCCCAAAAUGCUGGGAUUACAGGCGGGAGGUGAACCUGGGAGGUGGAGGUUGCAGGGAGCUGAGAUUGUGCCACUGCACUCCAGCCUGGGUGACAGAGUGAGACUCUGUCUCAAAACAAAACAAACAACAACAAC
Molecule: long non-coding RNA, 3091 nt
Filed under: Homo sapiens (human)
Lineage: Eukaryota; Metazoa; Chordata; Mammalia; Primates; Hominidae
Description: non-protein coding lnc-ZNF705D-2:48
Source: RNAcentral